AACGCGUGGGUAACCUGCCCUAUACACAUGGAUAACAUACUGAAAAGUUUACUAAUACAUGAUAAUAUAUAUUUACGGCAUCGUAGAUAUAUCAAAGUGUUAGCGGUAUAGGAUGGACCCGCGUCUGAUUAGCUAGUUGGUGAGAUAACUGCCCACCAAGGCGACGAUCAGUAGCCGACCUGAGAGGGUGAUCGGCCACAUUGGAACUGAGACACGGUCCAAACUCCUACGGGAGGCAGCAGCC
Molecule: ribosomal RNA, 244 nt
Filed under: uncultured Peptostreptococcus sp.
Lineage: Bacteria; Bacillati; Bacillota; Clostridia; Peptostreptococcales; Peptostreptococcaceae
Description: partial 16S ribosomal RNA
Rfam family: Bacterial small subunit ribosomal RNA
Source: RNAcentral